UACAGAGGGGGCAAGCGUGGUUCGGAAUUACUGGGCGUAAAGGGCGCGUAGGCGGCCUGUUAAGUCGAACGUGAAAUCCCCGGGCUCAACCCGGGAGCUGCGUCCGAUACUGGCAGGCUUGAAUCCGGGAGAGGGAUGCGGAAUUCCAGGUGUAGCGGUGAAAUGCGUAGAUAUCUGGAGGAACACCGGUGGCGAAGGCGGCAUCCUGGACCGGCAUUGACGCUGAGGCGCGAAAGCCAGUGGAGCAAACGGU
RNAcentral lists this ribosomal RNA (253 nucleotides) under uncultured bacterium. Its description in RNAcentral is "partial 16S ribosomal RNA". It matches the Rfam family "Bacterial small subunit ribosomal RNA", at positions 524 to 776 of the family's 1533-position model. The record is from RNAcentral.